AUUGAACGCUGGCGGCAGGCUUAACACAUGCAAGUCGAGCGGAGAUGAGGUGCUUGCACCUUAUCUUAGCGGCGGACGGGUGAGUAAUGCUUAGGAAUCUGCCUAUUAGUGGGGGACAACAUUCCGAAAGGAAUGCUAAUACCGCAUACGUCCUACGGGAGAAAGCAGGGGAUCUUCGGACCUUGCGCUAAUAGAUGAGCCUAAGUCGGAUUAGCUAGUUGGUGGGGUAAAGGCCUACCAAGGCGACGAUCUGUAGCGGGUCUGAGAGGAUGCUCCGCCACACUGGGACUUAGACACGGCCCAGACUCCUACGGGAGGCAGCAGUGGGGAAUAUUGGACAAUGGGGGAAACCCUGAUCCAGCCAUGCCGCGUGUGUGAAGAAGGCCUUAUGGUUGUAAAGCACUUUAAGCGAGGAGGAGGCUACUGAGACUAAUACUCUUGGAUGGUGGACGUUACUCGCAGAAUAAGCACCGGCUAACUCUGUGCCAGCCGCCGCGGUAA
This 501-nucleotide ribosomal RNA is filed under the name uncultured bacterium. Its description in RNAcentral is "partial 16S ribosomal RNA". It matches the Rfam family "Bacterial small subunit ribosomal RNA", at positions 30 to 523 of the family's 1533-position model. The record is from RNAcentral.